Molecule: ribosomal RNA, 92 nt
Organism: Saimiri boliviensis boliviensis (Bolivian squirrel monkey)
Lineage: Eukaryota; Metazoa; Chordata; Mammalia; Primates; Cebidae
Source: Ensembl
CUGUCUAUUCAUACCACCCUGGAAGCGCCUGGUCUUGUCUGAUCUCAGGAGCUAAACAGGGUCAGGUCUGGUUAGCACCAGAAAGGGAGAAA